RNAcentral lists this ribosomal RNA (253 nucleotides) under uncultured bacterium. Its description in RNAcentral is "partial 16S ribosomal RNA". It matches the Rfam family "Bacterial small subunit ribosomal RNA", at positions 524 to 776 of the family's 1533-position model. The record is from RNAcentral.
UACGGAGGGUGCAAGCGUUAUCCGGAUUCACUGGGUUUAAAGGGUGCGUAGGUGGGUCUGAAAGUCAGUGGUGAAAUCUCCGGGCUUAACCUGGAAACUGCCAUUGAUACUUCAGGUCUUGAAUUUUCUGGAGGUUAGCGGAAUAUGUCAUGUAGCGGUGAAAUGCUUAGAUAUCGUAAGGAAGACCAGUGGCGAAGGCGGGUCUCUGGACAGUUCCUGACGCUGAGGCACGAAGGUCAGGGGAGCAAACGGG